Molecule: ribosomal RNA, 343 nt
Filed under: uncultured fungus
Lineage: Eukaryota; Fungi
Description: SSU rRNA
Rfam family: Eukaryotic small subunit ribosomal RNA
Source: RNAcentral
GCAUCAUUCAAAUAUCUGCCCUAUCAACUUUCGAUGGUAGGAUAGUGGCCUACCAUGGUUUCAACGGGUAACGGGGAAUAAGGGUUCGAUUCCGGAGAGGGAGCCUGAGAAACGGUACCACAUCCAAGGAAGGCAGCAGGCGCGCAAAUUACCCAAUCCCGACCGGGGAGGUAGUGACAAUAAAUACUGAUACAGGGCUCUUUUGGGUCUUGUAAUUGGAAUGAGAACAAUCUAAAUCCCUUAACGAGGAACAAUUGGAGGGCAAGUCUGGUGCCAGCAAGCCGGGUAAUUCCAGCUCCAAUAGCGUAUAUUAAAGUUGUUGCAGUUAAAAAGCUCGUAGUUG